Jaculus jaculus (lesser Egyptian jerboa) is the source of this 1124-nucleotide long non-coding RNA. RefSeq lists it as uncharacterized. The record is from RefSeq and is a predicted model, not a curated record. Lineage: Eukaryota; Metazoa; Chordata; Mammalia; Rodentia; Dipodidae. The transcript has 4 exons.
GAUCGCUGCAGCUGCAGGGAGAUCGAGGGGACAAGAGGAGCAGAAGAACAUCACAGUAGAGUUUGGCAGGGAGAAAAGUUCUGACAGGUCUUCUUUGUCUUCCUUUGCCAUGCAAAGUCAUUUAAGUUUUGCAGCUUUAGAAAAUUCAUCCCAGAAUGUCAUGGAAGGUUUUUAGCAAAAGGGCCUAAGACUGAACAGUGGAGUGACGGAGAUCAUUCGGAAGGAAGAAUGGGAGGUUACAUGGGAAGUGAGGGAAAGAAAGAAUGGAGACACUUCCAUGAAUCCAGGCACUUCCUACAUCCAAAGGAACGUGUGUGACUUUAUAGGACCUUGGCCAGAUGUCUGAGUCUGAGAGCUGAGGGAGCAUUUCCACCAUGAUGCGCUCCUGAAAUUCAGAAAUGCAUAGCAACUACAGAUUUGGAAGAUUUUUGUAAAGCUCCUAACACAUGCCACUUGGAAGCAUAUCAAACCUAGGAGACCAUUAGAGUGGAGUCUUCCUGACUAAGAGGCCUGAAGAAAUCACCAAUGAACCAAGUGGUCCAAGUGAAGUCAUUGGAGACUACAGAAAGCCUCUGUCAAGUCCUGUUUACUUCCUGGUGUUAAUGACCUUCCCAGAAAGCAUCGCUACUGGAAUCAAGAGGAGGAAGCAAUUCUACAAUUACAAACAAGAGCUGACCAUGAUGGCACAUAGAUGAACAUCUCUGAGGCAAUGAUGAAUAAGCCACCAUCGAAAUGACCGUAUCCCAUCCAGCCAGCUCAGAACAGGUACAGGCUGAGGUCCUGGAGUCCUCAGAUAGACCUUUACUCAUGGGCCAUCCAGCUUCUUCUCCAUCCUCAGCUGCACAAGUCACAGAACACAGAAGACACUAAUUCAGUCCAUCCACAUUCAAGUGGACAAAACUUGGAUCGGGAGAAGGGAAGCAUCUUGCUUAUGAAUUCUCACGUAACGGGCAUCGAGACCCCUCCACCCCACGAAGGUCUCCUGCCUUCAAACCUGACUCCUUCUUCCAUAUGCAUUCUGCCCCCACCCACUUCUGCCUCCUGGUGUUCCAAGAGUGAAAAGGGCAUCUUUAGCAACUCGAUCAGCCAUAAUAUUCUGAAUAAACCUCCCCUGGAGUGGGCUU